CACACACACACAGCGGUAUACCAAAAUAUACCACUCGGUAUAUAGUAUCAUACCGUAUCAAAUAAGUCUUGAAAUUUUGGUAUAGUACAAAAUUUCAAUCCUUGAUUUAAGUGACUUCUUUUAUUGACUAACAUGCAAAUAUCGGGACUGUGUAACUUAUAUAUCAUGAACUAGCAUUGUCCAUAAUGUAAGUUACUCAUAUAAGAAACCAACAAGUAUGCUUUCUAUGGAUGAUAAUUGUUAGGACGGGAAACCACAACAUGUGGAUAAGGCUCUUAAUGGUGAAAUUUUAUAGGUUGGAUCAAGGUAUGCAAUACCGUACCGUAUUAGUAUUUCGAGGUUGGCUCGGUAUGGUAUAGUACCGUAUACCGAGCGGUACGUCAGGGUGUACCGAGCGGUACACCUAAUUUAGGUGUAAGACCCUCCGAAAAUACCUAAAAAUAAAAUAAAAGUUAGGAUAGGAUUUUUAUGUUAGAAAUAAAUAUAGUAAUAGCAUAAGUUUAAUAAAAUCAAUGUAAAUUAGGUAAGAAUAGUAUCAUAUAUCUUUUUCAGGCUUUGAAGAAUAUCUUAUGCAAGGUUCAUAUUUCAGUUUAGUACGGAUUAUCCUUAUGUAAACAUAACUCUUGAUUAGAAAGUUCUUCCUCUUAAUCUUCCUAAAUUAGCCUCGAUUCAAUUUACAAAUCGUUGUUUUGUAGAGUUUAGGAGAGAACAAAUGUGAGAAAAAAAGAGUUUGAGAUAGUUUAAGAGAGUAUGAGAAUGUAAUGGAGUGAAAUAAAGGAGAAGAAGGGUUUUUAAAUAUCAUAAGAAAGGGUUCCAAUGGUCAAUUUGACCAUUGGAGCACUGUAUCACUGUUACCGAGCAGUUUUAAAUAUUUCUUCCUCUUACUGUAGCAUUGUAGCACUCUAGCAUGUUCUGUCCGGUAGCGGGUGGUCCGCAAACCGGUAUGUCGUCGGACCGGUACGUAUCGCCCGUACCGGUUGGUAUCAUUCUAAAUUGGUUGGAUUAAGAUUGACAAUCCUUAGAACAUGAUGAGGUAAACUACUCCACUCUAUUUGACUUUGUGAACUAAAACUUGAUGGUUAAUUUUUUUUUUAACUUUUUAUUGGCAGCUGUAAUGACAUAUAUGAAUCUCCAAUUGAAUUGUGAGAGACACGAUGGCUAUGCAGGUCCAUCUUCUCAAAGGAUUUGGACUGCCAUUUAAAUGAACAAGUCUCCACAUUGUUAGUUACAGAUGUUCUUCUGUUUCUUCUUUGCAUUUUGUUCUAUAAUAUUUUGUGUCAAACAUUGAAAUAAUUAUAGAUGAUGUGUUCCAUAUUACUUAAUAGAAAUUCUUUUGCUUUUUGGCUUUCCACGUGUUUAAAAGUGUUCUUUCUUAGUUUAGAGGAUUCCACAAUAAGUUUAUGAAGAAACUAAUGUUAAUUAAAUUAUUUUUUCAUGCAUAUUAUGUGAAUGGAUAUGGUUUCUUAUCAAAUCAAUUUACAACCUGAUUUGGCAAUUUUGUACUUGAAUAGUUGGGUCUGUCUUCAAUAUUUGAUGAAAUUGUUAAAACUGAAGUAACCAGGCACAUGCAACCUACUGAUUACUUGAGCUUGUUUGGGGAAGAAUUCAAAUGAACUGAAGAUUAUUGGGAUGCUUCUUAUUUGAAUGUCUUGGAUAUAUCUGCAGCGGAAGAAGGCAGUCCUCAUGUCUUAUUUGGAUGUGCUUCACAAGCAAAAGCAGCAUGUGUAUUGAUUGAUUUAUGCUUUGGACCAUUAUCACCAUGGAUAUAUACAAUUACUGCAAAGGUUUCAUCUUUUUCCAUAAUAAGUCUACAUAUUAAGUCAACAACUUGUAUUUUUGUAACUGCAUUGACCCUUUUUCAUGUUGAUCUUGCAAUUGAACUUCUGGAGGACCUCUUGGUGUUAUUCAAGUAAUUUCAUCAUUCUUCUUGUUUUUAUUACUGUUAUGAAGGCUUAAUUCUUUAUUAUAAUGAAUGCUCGUUUGGUUGGUUGGUUGGUUAUGAAGUCAUGGAUACAAGUGUAAGAUAUUGAUAUGAUGGAUAUGGAUAUGUAUCAAUGUAUAAUGUUCACUAUUUAAUGUGACAAAAUUUGGUAUUUAUUUAAUGUUAGAAUAGGUAGAUGUAUAUAAAUCAUGAUUCAUCAUAAUUAACCUAUUCAUCAUGAAAAUAUAUAAACAAUGUUUGGUGAAUUAUCUAACAUAAGCAAUUAAAACUAUUUAUGUUUGAUGAGUACUUGGUCAUUUCUUGGUGCAGAUCUGACCUUUUUUGUGGUCAAUACAUUGUGAUUUAUUGUGGAUGGUCAAAUUAUCAAUCACUAAUUUUCUCUUGAAAUAAUCUCCUCAUUUUGAGAAAAAUGUUAUUUGAUUUGAACAUCAUAGUCCUAGCAUAACAAAGACUAUGAAGUUCAGAGGCAAUUUGUUCUGCUGUGGUAUAAUAUUUGAUGAUGAUUGUUCAGAUGACAAUUAGUUUCACCAUUUGAUGAUUGUUCAGAUGGCAGUGGUUGAUGAUUGUCGAACUAUGUUAUGCUAGUAUAAUACUAGCAUGGAGUUUUGUUUUAUACCAAGGAUGUCCCUGAACACACAAUCAAGCACAAGGCUUGUUCCAGCCAUAUGUUUAAACCGUGCUGAUCGGCAUGUAUUGUACUGACAUGUCCAUCCUGAUGAACUAAAAAAAUACUUUCUAUGACCUAUCAUAGAUGUUAUUUUGUGAUCCAUCUAUUACCUUAUUAUGAAGAUUCCAACAAUAUCAGUCAUUUGUACACUUGAAUAAAACCCUGAUCUCUUGAAUUUGAUCCUGAUCAUCAUAGCAGUUAUUGUGAAACUGAAACUUUUGUCUGUUGGAUUGGAGUUUUCCUUUUUUUCUAGAGAGCCAAUAAAGAACCUACUGUUUCAGUGUUUUGAUGAUACAACUAUGACGUAGCCUUGUACAGAGUUCUUUGGAGUGUUGUGCUCAACUCUUAUGGGACUUUUAUGGACCAAUAUAACUACUGUUGUGGCUUGGAAAGCUAUAUAUUUCUUAAUGGGUAACAGAUUAUUUUUUACAUGUUUCUAAGAUACCAAUAUACACUUAAAAUAUACACUUCUAAUCCUGUGAAUGCAAGUCCUUUAGUUCUAGUUACUGUCAUUUAGUACUUUUUAGUUCAUGAACCCUGUAUGUGACAUCCAUCUUUCAUCUGUGUGCUCAAGAAACUGUGAAUUUCAUCACAAUGCCCCCGUUAUUAUCCAAAUUCUAUCCACUUCCUCCUGAAUAAAAAUUCAAGAAAAGGAAAAAAUUUCAUAUGAUAGAUUAUGCACUUAUUUUCAUGCUUCAUGUUUGGUUGACUCUGUUCAUAAUGCCCCUACCGGGUGUUUCCAGAAUCUACUAGUCGUGCUUAUGCUGCUUUGAAGCAAGGUAUACAAUUUUGAAUGGUACCACCCGGUACAGGCGGUACGUACCGGUCCGAUAGGUUACCGGUAUGCGGACCACCCAUUACCAGGAGGAACGCUUAAACUAUCUCAAACCCUUCUCAUGUUUUUAAACCAUUCUUCUCCCCUAUUUCACUCCAUUUCAUUCUCAUACUCUGUUAAACUAUCUCAAACUCUUUUUUUCUCAUAUUUGUAUUAUCUUAAACUCCAUUACACCUAAAUUAGGCGUACCGUACCAUAUCAAGCCAACCUCGAAAUGUCGGUACGGUACGAUGUUUCAAUCCUUGCUUUGAAAUAUAUCUUGCUGGCCUUGUCUGAGCAUAUGGAUGAUGUACUGUCAAAAUAUAAGGUUUGACCUUCUAUUAAAGUAUCAAGCAUAAUUUUGCUUACUCUUUCCAAUCAGAUAGAUGAUGCUUUUACCAUCCUUGUAGGAAUUUAAACAUAGGCUUCUAUUUCUUUUAGAGAUGCUAGAACCCUUCCGUGAUCCUGUGAUUACUGGAACAAAGAAUACAACUUCUGAAGAUGCUAAUGAUAUACACUUGGAGAAAUAGAAGAACUGUUGUAUUGCAUUCAAUGUUAUAUGUACUGCAUUACGAAGGCCUGCCAUUCUUCCUUUUGUGGAAUGUGAAUGGAGACGUGAAUCUAUUGCACCAAGGUCUAUUGUAACAGCAUAUGCUAAUAUCAUAGAGAAAUUAAAAAAAUUUUAACAUCUUUAUAGUUUAUACUUUAUAAUGCUUAUUUUUGGAGAUGCAAAGAGAGAGAAUGAAGUGAUCGGUGAAGACUACAGUUUAAAAAGAUGUGAGAGUCAAAAAAGAAGAAAUUAUUAUUAUUUUUUUUUCCCUGCAACAAAAUGAAUCUUAUCAAAUGCACCUUGUUGGUUGUUACAUUACUUGGUUUUUAGCUGACAAUAUACUGUCUUCAUUGUCUUUCUAUAUUGCAGUGUACUCCUUUUUGUUUUGGGGCCACAUAUGCCAUUUCCUUCAGAUAUUGACCUUUGCAAAUGUUCAUUUCCUAAGGUGGCUGAUCAAGAGUCUUUAGCUGUUUCUUCUAACUUUGUGAUAUGUUCUCAUGGGGCUUCUAGCACAUCCAGUAAUCCGGAUGAAGCAAAGAGAAAGAUUGAUGCAUCUAAAGCUGCCACAAGAAAAGAUGUACUCCAAGAUGCUAAUCUGUAGUUUGCUCCUAGAGAUCUGUCAAAAAUUGUUCUGACAAGUGUUUCAAAUUAUUUUACUGGGGACUGGAUCAGAUUGAAUUUCAGUUGUGGUGUUUCAGAGGUGAAUAAGAUUUCAAAUAACAACUUUCAGAAUAUUGGUUUCUUUGCUGAUUACUUGUAUUCACAAGCAGAUUAUCUACAACUUGUAAACUAUCAAGAUUCGGUAUAUAGGGCUUCCCAAUUUGAACAUUUGGCAGCUGAUUUGUGUUCCCAGCAUGACAACCCCAGAAAGCCAUGAAGCUGCAAUAGAAUCCAUACUCUUGGCUGCAGAAUGUUAUGCCAACUCAUUCUUUAUAAUCGAUUUCAUAUGGAUGCAAUUCAGAGCUUAUGAAUCAGAUGAAAAUCAUUGGAUCCAAAUUCAUGAAUAAAAAUGGAUUAGUGGUGUUUUAUGAAGACCUUAAGAGAUGUAAUGUCAAUCUGGAGACAAUAGCUUAUCUUGAAAGUAAAAGAGAUAUAACUGUUCUACAAAUUCUGCUUCCGCUAAACUGGACCUCGAAUCUGAGAGAAUUUUGGCUCUUUGGAAACCUUGUACAUAUUAUUUUGAAGAUAAUCAGUAGGCUUUAGAAAUAUCACAAGUCGACAUUGAAUCUGAUGUGGCAACUUUGAUUAGGCAGAAUCAACCAUUGCUUUGCCACUUUGUAAUCCUCCUACAGAGUCUCCCCUCUUUCUACUGCAUUCUGCAACUGAGUUAUCCUGUUCUGUAGAGAAUGUUAAUGACAUUAUACUGCAGUCAGCUGCAAAUCUUAGUGGACAACUUACAAUUUUGUACACCCAACUGAAAGCAGGCAACAUACAACUUGAAAUGGUAAAGUUACAUGGGCUGCCAAGGUGCUGGGCACUUCUUGAAGGAUUAAUCUGGAAAUGAUGAACGGACAUAUCCCAUUGGUAUCAAAAGUGCUGGUUUCAUCUACAGAACUUUAGUUCCACAUUUAUCAUGGAUGCAGAAAAUAUCUAGAUUUUCAA
Molecule: long non-coding RNA, 5575 nt
Organism: Musa acuminata AAA Group (dessert banana)
Lineage: Eukaryota; Viridiplantae; Streptophyta; Magnoliopsida; Zingiberales; Musaceae
Exons: 2
Source: RefSeq, a predicted model, not a curated record